GAGGAUAUGUGCAGGCAGGUGUUCCCCGAUGGAGUUGUUCUGACAAGAUAUGCUACUUGUAUUGAAGAUUACCGAAGUACGUAUUCUUGGAGUGACUGGUCAGAUCAAAUGCAAAAUAUUAGAGCAUGCAUUUUUACUGUUGGGGGCUUAAUUCAGUCAAGUCAAGAAUGCUUAACCCUUGAAGAUUGAUGAUUGCAGUUACUUUUUUUUUUUUAUGAAAGCCAGGUACAAGACACAGCACACAGCAAAGAUAAAACCGGAAGACACCGGGUCCCAAACAAAAGCACAAGCGACUCCUGAACAAUGAAAAAAUACAAGGUAGCCCCGUGCCAGAACACGAAGAAGAACCGCGUUGAUGAAAGAUCUGGAGCAAUUUAUUCGCCGCCGCCGCCGUUGUCUCUGAAGAAAUCACCGCCGGGACGGACGAAAACCAAAGCUAUCAUGCCCUAAACCUACUGCUAUACAAGGUCCGAACGCGAUGUCCGGCGACUCCCCUACUCACUCACUGACGGCAGCGAGGGCGUCAGGAGGGCACGCAGAAGGGUCGAGACCGUGGGCUAAAACCAGAAUUAGCCUAUAGAUAUGAAACAAUUGUAUCGUAUCUUAGGUAUUGACCGAAUUGCUAUAAGAAAUUAAAACGUUGUAUCUUAGGUAUUGAUCGAAUGGCUUCAAGAGGAAGGCAAAAAUCACGGCAGGGGUGCGAAAUUGAUCGGAACCUAAGUCUGUUGGAGGCUUCAGCUGGAAAGAAGGAAGAAGACGAAAGAGGUUCGAAUACCUCAGCCCUCCAGGUCCGCGGCGCCGCUGGGCGAAGGUCUACGGGGCGACGGCCGCCGGAAUCUCACCGCCGACGCCUCUGUCCCCGCCCCCCAGUUCAUCUUUUUUUU
This 884-nucleotide long non-coding RNA is filed under the name Brachypodium distachyon (stiff brome). RNAcentral's name for it is "long non-coding RNA (BDIS_LNC002773)". Lineage: Eukaryota; Viridiplantae; Streptophyta; Magnoliopsida; Poales; Poaceae. The record is from RNAcentral.